AGUGGCGAACGGGUGAGUAACACGUGAGCAAUCUGCCCUUGACUCUGGGAUAAGCGUUGGAAACGACGUCUAAUACCGGAUACGACCUUGGAAGGCAUCUUCUGGGGUGGAAAGAAUUUUGGUCAAGGAUGAGCUCGCGGCCUAUCAGCUAGUUGGUGAGGUAAUGGCUCACCAAGGCGACGACGGGUAGCCGGCCUGAGAGGGUGACCGGCCACACUGGGACUGAGACACGGCCCAGACUCCUACGGGAGGCAGCAGUGGGGAAUAUUGCACAAUGGGCGAAAGCCUGAUGCAGCAACGCCGCGUGAGGGACGACGGCCUUCGGGUUGUAAACCUCUUUUAGUAGGGAAGAAGCGUAAAAGUGACGGUACCUGCAGAAAAAGCACCGGCUAACUACGUGCCAGCAGCCGCGGUAAUACGUAGGGUGCAAGCGUUGUCCGGAAUUAUUGGACGUAAAGAGCUCGUAGGCGG
This 471-nucleotide ribosomal RNA is filed under the name uncultured Cryobacterium sp. Its description in RNAcentral is "bacterial SSU rRNA". It matches the Rfam family "Bacterial small subunit ribosomal RNA", at positions 94 to 578 of the family's 1533-position model. The record is from RNAcentral. Lineage: Bacteria; Bacillati; Actinomycetota; Actinomycetes; Micrococcales; Microbacteriaceae.